CCAAAAGUAAGAUGAUUAGUAUUCACUGUCUACCUCUCCUCAAUUCACCUCCAGGGUGCGUGCAUCAUUGAAAUCCUCAGGGAAGGGGCCACAGGAAGUCAAAUUAUGACAUCGCCCGUGACCCAUAAAUCGAUAGAAGUCAACCAUCUGGAAGGACAUAUCAAUUCUCUAAUUGCACCACGAGGAAUAAGGAGUGAGGAAGCUUCCAGAAAAGCUAGGCGUGAGGAUACACAGGUGGAAGUGUUUCUUGUCAAAAAACCUGAUGCACAUAUAAAUUCCCCUCCUCCUUUACAUCUGCCACAAUCUCAAACAAAAGGUCCCUUGAUGAUGUGAUGGAG
Long non-coding RNA from Ictalurus punctatus (channel catfish), 338 nucleotides. Lineage: Eukaryota; Metazoa; Chordata; Actinopteri; Siluriformes; Ictaluridae. The record is from Ensembl.